RNAcentral lists this ribosomal RNA (497 nucleotides) under uncultured bacterium. RNAcentral's name for it is "partial 16S ribosomal RNA". It matches the Rfam family "Bacterial small subunit ribosomal RNA", at positions 28 to 507 of the family's 1533-position model. The record is from RNAcentral.
GACGAACGCUGGCGGCGUGCCUAAUACAUGCAAGUUGAGCGAUGAAGAUUGGUGCUUGCACCUAUUUGAAGAGCAGCGAACGGGUGAGUAACGCGUGGGGAAUCUGCCUUUGAGCGGGGGACAACAUUUGGAAACGAAUGCUAAUACCGCAUAACAACUUUAAACAUAAGUUUUAAGUUUGAAAGAUGCACUUGCAUCACUCAAAGAUGAUCCCGCGUUGUAUUAGCUAGUUGGUGAGGUAAAGGCUCACCAAGGCGAUGAUACAUAGCCGACCUGAGAGGGUGGUCGGCCACAUCUGGACUGAGACACGGCCCAAACUCCUACGGGAGGGAGCAGGAGGGAAUCUUCGGCAAUGGACGAAAGGCUGACCGAGGAACGCCGGGGGAGUGAAGAAGGGUUUCGGAUCGGAAAACUCUGGUGGUAGAGAAGGACGUUGGGGGGAGUGGAAAGCGCAUCAAGUGACGGUAACUACCCAGAAAGGGACGGCUAACUACGUG